AAAAUUUGAUUUUCAGGGUUCUUUCUCCAACAUGAAGGCUAGAGUAUUAGAGGGUUUCUCUUGGGUAAUCUCUAGGGUUGGGGAAGUGAUUGUAACACCUUAGAAACACUUAUUGAUUGAAUCUCUUGGUCACGGGAAAAGAUUCGGGAAAAGGGUAGAUUUAGGAAAACUCUAAAUCUUGUAACUCUUUGUGGUUGAAUCUUUGUAAUCAAGUUGAAUCAUUCAUAGUGGAACGGAGAGCUCUCUCUCCCCCAGACUAGGUCAUUAUUGAACCGAACUGUGUAAACAAUU
This 291-nucleotide long non-coding RNA is filed under the name Trifolium pratense (red clover). RNAcentral's name for it is "long non-coding RNA (TPRA_LNC001565)". The record is from RNAcentral. Lineage: Eukaryota; Viridiplantae; Streptophyta; Magnoliopsida; Fabales; Fabaceae.